GAAGGCACUUUAUAUGAUAUUUCAAAAUAAUCGAUCGACCAUAACUCUCGUCUCGUGUGGUGGUGCACACACAGUACUGCCCUCGAUUCUAUUGUGUGCAAAACAUUAAGAUAGAAUAUUUGGUCAUCUAAGCUUCUGUUUAGGUACUUUAAACAUUAAGAUAGAAUAUUUGAUUCUCUGGUGACGACAAAAAAAAAAAAAAAA
This 204-nucleotide long non-coding RNA is filed under the name Capsella rubella. Its description in RNAcentral is "long non-coding RNA (CRUB_LNC001958)". Lineage: Eukaryota; Viridiplantae; Streptophyta; Magnoliopsida; Brassicales; Brassicaceae. The record is from RNAcentral.